This 69-nucleotide transfer RNA is filed under the name Chrysomeloidea sp. 6 KM-2017. Its description in RNAcentral is "tRNA-Ile". Lineage: Eukaryota; Metazoa; Arthropoda; Insecta; Coleoptera. The record is from RNAcentral.
AAUAGAGUGCCUGAAUAAAGGACAAUCUUGAUAGGAUUGGUCAUGUGGAGCCCCCGCCCGCCUCUAUUA